Etheostoma cragini (Arkansas darter) is the source of this 457-nucleotide long non-coding RNA. RefSeq lists it as uncharacterized. The transcript is spliced from 3 exons. Lineage: Eukaryota; Metazoa; Chordata; Actinopteri; Perciformes; Percidae. The record is from RefSeq and is a predicted model, not a curated record.
CCUCUCCCCUCUAGCUGAGUCAGGAGUGUUGGAGAAGACAAUGCACUACAGCUUUUCUGAUGGCCUGAAGUCUCCCAUGUUGAGUACCAGAGGUCCAACCUAAAGUUCUGUGGAACAUUCCUGGUGUAAACACGGACUUGUGGAUGGAGGACAGAAAGGGGAAGCUGUAUAAAUCCACCAUGACACCUCCAUCACAACCAUGGCAGCGGGUGGAGUCCUCCGUGCCUCACAGGUGGCAGAGCAGCUGGCCCACUAUGUCCGUGUGUCAGAGUCGGUAAUCACAGAGGAGACCUUUGAUGCGGCCGUACAUACAGUUUGGCAAAGUGCAGGGCAACCCCAACCACAGCUGAGCAGGAUGACCUGUUUGCAUGCCUCCUUGGUUGCCCUCAGCACCUACUGGGAAAAGAGCAUGAAAGGACAACUACACCACCUACACGUACCGCUACUUUGUCAGCCU